This 70-nucleotide transfer RNA is filed under the name Albula vulpes (bonefish). RNAcentral's name for it is "tRNA-Arg". It matches the Rfam family "tRNA". Rfam says of the family: Transfer RNA (tRNA) molecules are approximately 80 nucleotides in length. The record is from RNAcentral. Lineage: Eukaryota; Metazoa; Chordata; Actinopteri; Albuliformes; Albulidae.
AGGUGAUUAGUCCAAGGAAAGACUGCUGAUUUCGGCUCAGUGGAUUGUGGUUCAAGUCCACAGUUGCCUU